CCGAGAAGAACCAACGAAUGAAAUCCUCUUCUAACUAAGGAGGCGUAGAGUCGCGUGCGUGAAGUAGAAGGCAUGGCACGUACUUCACGGCAUCUUACUACGGGUACCAAACCUGCCCAAAGUCGAGGCCGCGCGUAAAAUUUAACAUUUAUACAUCUUUUCUUCGGAUGUAAUAUCUUCCUUUGAUUCCGUCUUCCUUCGAUAUAAAAAAAAGAUUUUUAUCUAUGAUAUCUUGAGACCAGCAAUGGAAUUUUCCAGAAGCUAAAUUAAACAAUCGGAUUAAUUUGACAAUAUGUUUUUAUCGAUUAUAAAAGAAAAAAAAGAGAAGAUAUAAAUUAAAUAUUGAGGUUUACCUUAAGAUCCCAAACUACCAAUUGACCGUCUAAACCACUCGUGCUAAAUUCGUUAUCUGAUACUUUGCGUACACAAUUAAUUGUGUUUUGAUGAAUACUAUCCAAGGCAUUGUCAUUCGUAUCAGUUCUCGCUUGGCGAUCUAACGAUUGAAAUUUACGCAUGGCAGACAAACCGGCAGCUUCUUUUUUUUGUGUAUUAUCUAGUUUUGAUACAAAAUAUAGUUGACCAUGGUCGUCUAUGGAAUAUAACAUAGGCAUACAACUAUGUCCCUAAAAAAGCCAAUUAAAUUAUAUUUAAUGUUUAUUGUAAUAUGUAAUAUAAAAUUAUCAAAUUAUUAUUUAUUAAAUGUAAAAAAAAAAUAUAA
Long non-coding RNA from Apis cerana (Asiatic honeybee), 718 nucleotides. RefSeq lists it as uncharacterized. Lineage: Eukaryota; Metazoa; Arthropoda; Insecta; Hymenoptera; Apidae. The record is from RefSeq and is a predicted model, not a curated record.